This 253-nucleotide ribosomal RNA is filed under the name uncultured bacterium. Its description in RNAcentral is "partial 16S ribosomal RNA". It matches the Rfam family "Bacterial small subunit ribosomal RNA", at positions 524 to 776 of the family's 1533-position model. The record is from RNAcentral.
UACGAAGGGGGCUAGCGUUACUCGGAUUGACUGGGCGUAAAGGGCGCGUGGGCGGCAUGCACAGUCAGGCGUGAAAUUCCUGGGCUCAACCUGGGGGCUGCGCUUGAUACAUGUGUGCUUGAGUUCGGAAGAGGGUCGUGGAAUUCCCAGUGUAGAGGUGAAAUUCGUAGAUAUUGGGAAGAACACCGGUGGCGAAGGCGGCGACCUGGUCCGAUACUGACGCUGAGGCGCGAAAGCGUGGGGAGCAAACAGG